UCAACAGGCUAUUGGGAGUUGAUGGACGUUUUAAGUGGCGAGGCUUACCCGGAGGCAAUGAGUCUUUGGGGAUAUGACUUUGGGGACUAUACUUUGCUUCUGCUUUCUCCUCUUUCUUUGCUUCCCAGACACUAUCCUGUGCUACACUGGCUCCUUUCUGUUGUCACAUCUGGCUUGACGUCAGGCCCCAACACUGAACCAAAGGCACCGCAGGCUGACAUUUCUGAAAUCUGAGCCAGAGUUAAUUUUUCUUCUGAGUUGUUCAUUUCAGGUGUUCUUUCACAGUGGUGGACGCUAACACAUCUUGAUGCGGGCUUUGGUUGGCUCCCCAUCUUGGCUGCUAUGAACAAGGCUGGAGUACGCCUUUCCUUUGGUCAUAUACAAGGGAUUGUCAGAUCAUCUGUCUUCUCACAAGAGCACCAGUCUUACGGAUUAGGACCUGACCUCAUGCACACCUUCCCUUCACCUUAACUUCCUCACUGGAAAAUUUCUCUUCAAACACAAUCACAUUCUGAAGUACAAGUCCAGGGCUGAGCCCAUAAACUGGCUCCACUACCCACAUCCGGUUAAUAUUGAUGGACAGUCAUCAGAUUCCCCUGCAGACAUGCCCACGGCACAACAUGAUCUAGAUACUUCUUCAGUUGAGACUCU
This is a long non-coding RNA of Mastomys coucha (southern multimammate mouse), 651 nucleotides long. RefSeq lists it as uncharacterized. The transcript is spliced from 3 exons. The record is from RefSeq and is a predicted model, not a curated record. Lineage: Eukaryota; Metazoa; Chordata; Mammalia; Rodentia; Muridae.